Molecule: ribosomal RNA, 440 nt
Filed under: uncultured bacterium
Lineage: Bacteria
Description: bacterial SSU rRNA
Rfam family: Bacterial small subunit ribosomal RNA
Source: RNAcentral
CCUACGGGAGGCUGCAGUCGAGGAUCUUCGGCAAUGGGCGCAAGCCUGACCGAGCGACGCCGCGUGCGGGAUGAAGGCCUUCGGGUUGUAAACCGCUGUCAGAGAGGCGGAAAUAUUGGGGGGUUCUCCCCUCAGUUUGACCUAUUCUCAGAGGAAGUGCGGGCUAAGUCCGUGCCAGCAGCCGCGGUAACACGGACCGCACGAACGUUAUUCGGUAUCACUGGGCUUAAAGGGUGCGUAGGCGGCUUUGCAAGUUGGGUGUGAAAGCCCUCGGCUCAACCGAGGAAUUGCGCUCAAUACUGCCGAGCUCGAGAGAGACAGAGGUAAGCGGAACUGAUGGUGGAGCGGUGAAAUGCGUUGAUAUCAUCAGGAACACCGGUGGCGAAGGCGGCUUACUGGGUCUUUUCUGACGCUGAGGCACGAAAGCCAGGGGAGCGAAC